RNAcentral lists this ribosomal RNA (492 nucleotides) under uncultured bacterium. RNAcentral's name for it is "partial 16S ribosomal RNA". It matches the Rfam family "Bacterial small subunit ribosomal RNA", at positions 29 to 507 of the family's 1533-position model. The record is from RNAcentral.
AGUGAACGCUGGCGGUAGGCCUAACACAUGCAAGUCGAACGGCAGCACAGUAAGAGCUUGCUCUUACGGGUGGCGAGUGGCGGACGGGUGAGGAAUACAUCGGAAUCUACUUUUUCGUGGGGGAUAACGUAGGGAAACUUACGCUAAUACCGCAUACGACCUACGGGUGAAAGCAGGGGAUCUUCGGACCUUUCGCGAUUGAUUGAGCCGAUGUCGGAUUAGCUAGUUGGCGGGGUAAAGGCCCACCAAGGCGACGAUCCGUAGCUGGUCUGAGAGGAUGAUCAGCCACACUGGAACUGAGACACGGUCCAGACUCCUACGGGAGGCAGCAGUGGGGAAUAUUGGACAAUGGGCGCAAGCCUGAUCCAGCCAUGCCGCGUGGGUGAAGAAGGCCUUCGGGUUGUAAAGCCCUUUUGUUGGGAAAGAAAAGCAGCAGGAUAAUACCCCGCUGUUCUGACGGUACCCAAAGAAUAAGCACCGGCUAACUUCGUG